Molecule: long non-coding RNA, 251 nt
Filed under: Elaeis guineensis (African oil palm)
Lineage: Eukaryota; Viridiplantae; Streptophyta; Magnoliopsida; Arecales; Arecaceae
Description: long non-coding RNA (EGUI_LNC063646)
Source: RNAcentral
CUUAAUUAGGCUCAAAAAAAUCCUAAUCAAAUCAAAAAUUGACUAAGUCCAACCCUUGAUCAAAUCAGGGACCAAACUAUCUCGACGAUUAGGUCAACUCUUAACCUAAUCGGGUCAAACCCAACUGAAUCCAAUUCAAUUGGACUUGAUCCAAAAAUAAUUACUCAAUCAAAUUGAGUUAAUUAGUGAUCAAAUCACUAAUUAAACCUCUCAUAAAUACUGAGUCCAAAUCUGAUGGGCAAUCGGGUAUC